This 213-nucleotide ribosomal RNA is filed under the name uncultured bacterium. Its description in RNAcentral is "partial 16S ribosomal RNA". It matches the Rfam family "Bacterial small subunit ribosomal RNA", at positions 28 to 233 of the family's 1533-position model. The record is from RNAcentral.
GACGAACGCUGGCGGCGUGCUUAACACAUGCAAGUCGAGCGGUAAGGCCCUUUCGGGGGUACGACGAGCGGCGAACGGGUAGAGUAACACGUGGGUGACCUCGCCCUCCAGCUCUGGGAGUAAGCCUGGGAAACGUAGGGUCGUAAUACUGGAUAUGACUCCACGGUGCAUGUCGUGGGGUGGGAAAGCCUUGUGCGGCUGAGGAUGGGCCCG